Zea mays is the source of this 3815-nucleotide RNA transcript. RefSeq lists it as uncharacterized. Lineage: Eukaryota; Viridiplantae; Streptophyta; Magnoliopsida; Poales; Poaceae. The transcript is spliced from 5 exons. The record is from RefSeq and is a predicted model, not a curated record.
CGGCGGCGGCAGCAGUGAUGGAAAUCCCGCGUUCGGAAAGAAAAGAAGAGGACGAGCUCGUGACGAGUCGACGCCGACCGUCCGAUCGGAACGCGCCACGUCACCUCUCCGAACGGACGGACGACAGCGACCUGCCCCUACAGGCUCCUCUCGCUGCCGGUGGGUCCCAACGCCUUUGACAUCUCACAUCCUGGCACACGUGACGCUAUCUGUGUAAAUCUCACUUCUACGAAGCGCGUAGCAUAACUCCUUGUCCUCCAGUCCUCCUCCCCUCCGCGGCUUCUCGCAGUGCUUCGUGAAUCCUAAAUUCACGCCGAUCCGACGCGAAUCGAUCGAGAGGCAGGAGGCAGCACGAUUCGGAUCGAGACGAGCGCCAUGAACCCGAGAGGGUAAGAUUCUGCGCCUUUUUGUUGCUUUGAGCUUCGAAUUUUGUGACAUGGUGUUCGGAUAUCAGGGUUGAUGAGCGCAAGCGAUUUGUUAGUAGGGCCCGUUGUGGAUGGAUCACACGCGAUUAGUGCGAUCGGUACGCUGUGAUUGUUAAGGAUUAAGACGAUGUGCUGCUGUCUACUUACCUUGGCUUGUAGAUAAUUCAGUUGUUGUCUCAAAAUUAUGGUUGAGGAAUUCCUUCCAAAGACAAAUCGAUUGCUGUAUUGGACAGUUUCAUUUCCCCAACUCUAAGUUUGUUGUUUGUUUGAGGAUCACGAAUCUAGGUUUAUCAGACAUGGAAGUUGGUUUCACGUGAUUAUUGAAUGGGCUUGUUUUGCUUAUCUGUCUCAAGAGAGAAGAGACCAAUAAAUUUGUAACUUGGGACUCUAAGCGCUACUAUUCUCUCUGUUUUUUUAACGUCUCUGUCUUUCAAUUUGCCUUUCAAUUAAAAAAAUAGAAUUGAUCUAGUUUUAAGAAAAUUCGGGUCCAACACCUACACAAAGUGCACAAAUAAUCUAGACAACGGUAGCCCCCCACACAAAGCUCAUAUAGAGUCAUCGUUACCGAGCUCAACACAAGGAACAAGCAACUCUGACUCCGCAAGAUGGGCCACUCAUGACCAAAGGAACUCGACGACACCUACACCCAAAACCCGACACAGAAGGAGGAAGACCACGGUGCACUGUCGUUGCCAAGCCUCAACACACCACACGCGAGACAACUUUGAUUCUUUUCACCAACAAGCUUUAUCCUUGCCCCACCCCAACAUUUGCCCAACCUCCGAAACAAUCUAGUCCAUAAAAAAGGGGUUUCGCCUCAUGUCAUAGUUACCAAGCCAAUCUCUAAACGUAGCAGUUUCGAUUUCACGUUGCAAAAUCCCACCUCUACCCCGCAAACCAAACGUUGAGAAGCGAAGACAUCAACUGAAGGUGACGUCGCGGUCGAGACGAACUUCUAUAGCGAUGUCUUUAGUAAAGGAGUGACGUCUCGGACGCCACCCUCACUUGUCCUAGAAGGACCGGGCUUUCGCCUAUGUAAAACUGUGCUGGAAACGUGACGCACUCAGCAGAUAAACGGCGCCCAUGAUUUUCAUCGUCGCUAAGCCUGAUGUCACCCAGCACAUAACAUAGCUAGGCUAGAACCCCGCGUCAAAGCAUGCAGCCUCCAACGUUGUUGCCGCCCGGGCUUCUGCACAAACCCCUCCAAAGGGCAUCAACGCGCCGCCGCAAUGCUGCGUCGGCCGCCACCCCUCCGGCUGGGCACACGGAACCGGGCAACAACUUGCCACAUGCGUCACACUGCCGCGCACCAAAGCCGAAGCCCGCUGUCGCUGUCGGCCCUGGCACCCGCGGGCACCAAAGCCACCUGCCGUCGGGCGCUCCACCGCCGUCGCCACCAUCUUGUGCCUGCCCAGGUCACUUGUUGUCGUUGCCAUGCCAUCAAACGAGAGGAGGGCCCCGUCGCCGCCGCCAUCUCGGCCGACCGCGUAGCCCUGCUGGCGCACCUCGCCGGGCCACUGGACGCCUCUCUCCAUCCGUGCAGCCUCCCAACGCCCAAGCAGGUUCCACCCCUCCUCCCCACAAGCACCACCACCUCAAUGGUGUCGAUCCAGCAAGGGAGGGCCAGAUACAGGCCGACGGGGCCUAGAUCUGCCGGCAAGCGCAGCCCUUACACCCACCUCUCCUCCUCCCCACCCCCAAGUCGUUUCUCACGCAGAGGACCGCGCUCGUGAGAGGCAGGGGCGCGGGGUCUACGUUAACACCUGCCCUUGAAUCCGCCUGCAUCGACAACCUUCAUGCCGCCGCCGCCCUUCAAGUAGUCGCCAAUGCCGCGUGGCACCCGCCCUUGAGGUGCGGGUGUGGGUGGGAGGGGAGAGCUGAGGAGCUCCUCGCCGCCGCCUUCCUCGUGCCCGCGUGAGCCUCUCUGCAGGUCGCUCCGGCGAUGGCGAGACUGGGGAGCGGGAGGGAGGUAUUGGCGAGCGCGCCGCCUUGGCUCCGCCUGUGUUGCCCGUGGGGAACGACACGGGCGUGGGGAGUGGGGACUCUCCCGUCCUCUUAAGCGCUACUAUUCUAAAGCUACUGAUCCCUUUGUUUAUUUGUGCUGAUAUUUCUGCGUGUUAACAGAUUCAUACUUUGCCCGCUAUCACUGCCUCAUGGUCAAAAUUCUUUCUGUUAGGUCUCUAUUUCUGUCCCUCUCUAUCUCUGUCACAAGCUCUGUAAUCUGUAGUUCUGCAUAAGACUGCAUCUUUACAAAUAAUCCAAUUAUGGAAGGGAAUGAAAUCAUGAAAAGGAUAUGCUGGAGCAAUAUAGCUAUAAUUAGAAAAAUAUAAGACACAGUGAUCCUGCAUAACCGCAGUACAUGAAUUUCAUCUUAGACGGAAUUAACAGGCUCUCUAUGGUAACUAUGGAUCUCAAUUGUAUUGCUAAUUGGGGCUAUUAUGUACUACUAAUGUCAUUGCCUAGUUAUUGUCACACCCUUUUUUGUCAACUUGUAGUGGUUUUCUGUCGUACCAAAACAUUUUAGCAGACAAUGUUUUGUCUUAUUUCGUGAUAUGGGUCCAGAGAACUGUGUUUGUCGGUCUAUCACAGAGUAUGCAAGUUCCCCAUUUCUGAUUUAUUGAAACAACAUUGUGUUCCUCUAAAAAUAGUUCCUUUCUGCGUCAACUUCAAUGCAUAAUGGUAGAUAUGGGAUCCUUGUCAACCAUGUGCUUUCCUGGACCAGUUUAGUUUGAAAUAUUUGAAAGUAGUUAAGCACAGUUUUCUGGUUAAUUUUACGUAAAGGGAAUACGAUGGUCCUUGCAAUGCUGUAUUGAUGGCUGCAUUGAUGCUAUCUGAAUAUUUCAUUGGCCGAACUUUUUUUUUAGUGUGGUAUGCAUUUGGAAGCUAACAACUAGAAUGUCUACAUUAAUAAGUUGUCAGGUGAUAUCCACGAAGAGGUGGAGACUCAUAACAGAAUGCUAGACCGAAUGGGGAGCGACAUGGAUACAUCAAGGGGCUUUCUCUCUGGCACCGUGGGCAAAUUCAAGACGGUGUUCGAGACCAAAUCUACUGGUUUACUACUUGACCAGGUAGAAUCAUCCACGGUGAAAGUUUUGUGGGGCUGGGCGUGUUCAAGAACAUUCUGAAAAUGGACGUGCUGAUCUGGUGGUGCCGUGCCGCGUAUAUAUAUACUCAUGAGUAGCAGAGUAUGCUGAUGUGGGUUCCGUGAACACCGCAGCGUGUUGGGUCGAACCUCUCUCUGCUACAGGAAAUUGUUGUCCGUUCCUUUGGCAUGAUAUGUGUGUAUGGAGGGAGUAUGUACAUGUGGUAUUACCGUACUAGUAAGGUCCUCUUUAGAAGCAAUUAUUUUUUAGCUAAGAGAGAUUAGCUUCUUAGUUUUUAACAAACUAA